CUCCAUUUAAGGCGCAAAACCGACCCAACUAAACCCGCAUAAAAUGAAACCGGGUCGAACCGUAUGACCCGACCUUUACCAAAUUAAAAAAAAAAAAAAAGAAAAAAAAAAAGGCAUUCCUUAAUGAGAGAAGCUCCCGGCUGGAUGAGUUUGAAACCAUUUUUGCACCGGCCACUAAUAUCGCGACACGUAGACAUUUCGAAUAUAAUUUUCCCGCAGCCGGCACCACCAAAUCAACUCUCUAUUUGCUCUCUCUCUCUCUCUCUCUCUCUCUCUCUCUCCAUCUGCCCUCAACGAAAUCUAUCCUCUCCGUUCUCUCCCUCUCCCUUCCUCUCUCAAACCACUCGAUGCGACGCCGAAGGAAGAAAAUAUGAUCAAAACGCAGAAGCCCUUCUGUAGAGUUUCUUGGCUACGAAUAUUCUUGGGCUCUUUCUUCUUGUUUUGGUGUUGGUUCUUUUCAUUACGAGAAACAGUUGAAGGAUUUAGGACUUGAUUUUAGAGUUUGGGCUAUCGAUUUUCUUGGGCAAGGCAAGUCGUUGGAUGGGUACGUAUUUGCAGGUGGACUCCUGUGUCGGUAAGAAUUCCAAUCCCAGCAGAAGUAAACCCACAAGCAACAGAGGAGAAACGUGAGACUUGAGUGUGCAGAUUUGGACCUCGUGGAGAAGCAACAAAGGGGAUGAUGUGAAGACGAAAGGCGAUGAAGAACGGCGCUAACGUGCUAGGGUUUGAGGAGAAGGAGAUGAGAGGCACGAGCAAGUUUUCGGUAAUUGGUUUCGACCGAUAACAGGGUGCUUAAACCCGUUAUUGUGCUUAACCCGUUGAACCCGACUUUGUUCGGGUAGGCCCAAGUCGGUUAUUUCGGACGGAUCGGGCCAUGCAUUUUUGUGCACAGGCCUAAUAUUCCCCAUAUCCAAGAUGGCGAACACAAUAAUUGUUCUAUGGUGCUUGCCAGGAGGGGAUCGAACACUUUUGCUCGCUCAAUUUGCAAGAAAAUAAAUGAUACACACAUGGGAGUACCUUGGGAGCGACCACUUUUACUUGUAUGUGGUAAUCGCCCAGCCCCAAGGUGAGCAUAUUGGCUCUUUGUGCUACAGGGCGGGGUGCUGAGCACUAUUGCUCCCCUAGGUGGUGAAAUAUAGCACAGAUCUUAAAAGAUAUUCAUCGGCUGCAUAAGAGUAUUGAACAUGGACCAAUUCAUUUGUAGUAUAGGAUGCCAUGCAUAAGGUUUCUCCAUCAUCUCUAAUUCGCGAAGGACUAUGUGCAGAAGAUCUCCCAUAGAUUAGAAGUUGGAGUUCUAUUUAUAUAUACUUUUUGCUAUCCAAAGAUGGCAAGCUUGAUGCUCCUUGGUGUUGCUUGCUUGCUUGCAUGGCAAACACUUUUGUCCUUUGCGGCGCUCAUCCAAGUGUGAGCACAAUGACUACUAAUAAUAUUCUUAUUGUUUGUAAGUGAUCUUGAAGACCAUUUAAAGAUGGCAUUGUUUUUUAAA
This is a long non-coding RNA of Carya illinoinensis, 1486 nucleotides long. RefSeq lists it as uncharacterized. The record is from RefSeq and is a predicted model, not a curated record. Lineage: Eukaryota; Viridiplantae; Streptophyta; Magnoliopsida; Fagales; Juglandaceae. The transcript is spliced from 2 exons.